GACGAACGCUGGCGGCGUGCUUAACACAUGCAAGUCGAACGGAAAGGCCUGCUUUCCCUUGUGGAUUGCGGGUACUCGAGUGGCGAACGGGUGAGUAACACGUGAGUGAUCUGCCCCCAACUUGGGUAUAAGCCUGGGAAACUGGGUCUAAUUCCCGAUAGGACUGCAGGGUGGUGCCUGUGGUGGAAAACGAUUUUCUAGUGGUUGGGGAUGAGCUCGCGGCCCAUCAGCUUGUUGGUGGGGUAAUGGCCUACCAAGGCGGCGACGGGUAGCCGGCCUGAGAGGGUGGACGGCCACAUUGGGACUGAGAUACGGCCCAGACUCCUACGGGAGGCAGCAGUGGGGAAUAUUACACAAUGGGCGGAAGCCUGAUGCAGCGACGCCGCGUGGGGGAUGACGGCCUUCGGGUUGUAAACUCCUUUCGACCGCGAGGAAGCCACCUGGUUGGAAGGGUGGUGACGGUAGUGGUAGAAGAAGCACCGGCUAACUACGUG
RNAcentral lists this ribosomal RNA (494 nucleotides) under uncultured bacterium. RNAcentral describes it as "partial 16S ribosomal RNA". It matches the Rfam family "Bacterial small subunit ribosomal RNA", at positions 28 to 507 of the family's 1533-position model. The record is from RNAcentral.